This 305-nucleotide ribosomal RNA is filed under the name uncultured bacterium. RNAcentral's name for it is "bacterial SSU rRNA". It matches the Rfam family "Bacterial small subunit ribosomal RNA", at positions 333 to 655 of the family's 1533-position model. The record is from RNAcentral.
ACUCACCUACGGGGGGCAGCAGUGGGGAAUAUUGCACAAUGGGGGGAACCCUGAUGCAGCGACGCCGCGUGGGUGAGGAAGUACUUCGGUAUGUAAAGCCCUAUCAGCAGGGAAGAAAAUGACGGUACCUGACUAAGAAGCCCCGGCUAACUACGUGCCAGCAGCCGCGGUAAUACGUAGGGGGCAAGCGUUAUCCGGAUUUACUGGGUGUAAAGGGAGCGUAGACGGAGAAGCGAGUCUGAAGUGAAAGCCCGUGGCUUAACCACGGGACUGCUUUGGAAACUGUUUGACUAGAGUGCUGGAGG